GACGAACGCUGGCGGCGUGCUUAACACAUGCAAGUCGAACGCUGAAGCUCAGCUUUUGUUGGGUGGAUGAGUGGCGAACGGGUGAGUAACACGUGAGUAACCUGCCCCCUUCUUUGGGAUAACGCCCGGAAACGGGUGCUAAUACUGGAUAUUCACUGGUCUUCGCAUGGGGGUUGGUGGAAAGGGUUUUUCUGGUGGGGGAUGGGCUCGCGGCCUAUCAGCUUGUUGGUGGGGUGAUGGCCUACCAAGGCUUUGACGGGUAGCCGGCCUGAGAGGGUGACCGGUCACAUUGGGACUGAGAUACGGCCCAGACUCCUACGGGAGGCAGCAGUGGGGAAUAUUGCACAAUGGGCGCAAGCCUGAUGCAGCGACGCCGCGUGAGGGAUGGAGGCCGUCGGGUUGUGAACCUCUUUCGCUAAUGGUCAAGCCGCAACAAUGGUUGUGGUGAGGGUAGUGGGUAAAGAAGCGCCGGCUAACUACGUG
RNAcentral lists this ribosomal RNA (483 nucleotides) under uncultured bacterium. Its description in RNAcentral is "partial 16S ribosomal RNA". It matches the Rfam family "Bacterial small subunit ribosomal RNA", at positions 28 to 507 of the family's 1533-position model. The record is from RNAcentral.